AUUGAACGCUGGCGGCAUGCUUUACACAUGCAAGUCGAACGGUAACAGGUCUUCGGAUGCUGACGAGUGGCGAACGGGUGAGUAAUGUAUCGGAACGUGCCCAGUAGUGGGGGAUAACUACUCGAAAGAGUGGCUAAUACCGCAUGAGAACUGAGGUUGAAAGCGGGGGACCUUCGGGCCUCGCGCUACUGGAGCGGCCGAUAUCAGAUUAGGUAGUUGGUGGGGUAAAGGCCUACCAAGCCGACGAUCUGUAGCUGGUCUGAGAGGACGACCAGCCACACUGGGACUGAGACACGGCCCAGACUCCUACGGGAGGCAGCAGUGGGGAAUUUUGGACGAAUGGACGCAAGUCUGAUCCAGCAAUGCCGCGUGCAGGACGAAGGCC
This 385-nucleotide ribosomal RNA is filed under the name uncultured bacterium. RNAcentral describes it as "bacterial SSU rRNA". It matches the Rfam family "Bacterial small subunit ribosomal RNA", at positions 30 to 416 of the family's 1533-position model. The record is from RNAcentral.